This 2236-nucleotide long non-coding RNA is filed under the name Fragaria vesca (wild strawberry). RNAcentral describes it as "long non-coding RNA (FVES_LNC002996)". The record is from RNAcentral. Lineage: Eukaryota; Viridiplantae; Streptophyta; Magnoliopsida; Rosales; Rosaceae.
AGAUCCUUCUUCCCUCUCUCCCCAAGACAUAUUUGCAGAAAACCAUAGAAAAUAAGAGUAUAUAAGCUCAGUAAAAGGAAAGUAGAAAGCUGUGAUUAACAAAUUGAAAAGAACAACGGAAGAAGAUCGAAGAACACAAACCUGAUUCUUAAUCUGGGAAUCGAAGGAGGAUGGAGCCUUCGAAAGAGGAUGGAUUCUUCGAAGAAGAGUGAGGGGCCGAGGAAGGCUGAGAUGAGGGUGAUGUUGUCGACUUAGGGGCUUGGUGGGAGGAGAUCAGUGGUCGAGGGCUCGAGGAGGUGAGGGUGGAGGAGAGGAGCAGAAGUAGAUCGGGGAAGAAUGGGAGAAAUUGUGUUCGGGGAAGAAUAGGUCGAGCUGGAGAGUAAGUAAAGAGGAUAAGGCACCGCUAAAAUUUUGAUGGAAAUUUCAAAAAUUUCAUUUCAAAUUGCUCCAAAAUUUGAGCGGAAAGAAUACCCUAAAUUGUAAACCCUAAACCCUAAACCCUAAACCCUAGUCCUGUUGUGGUUCCAAUGUCUAAAAUUCAAAAUAUUAAAUUUCGACCGUCCGAUAUGAUCAGCGUAUUUAAAUACGGAUAUGGUUAAAAAUUCACCUAAUUUUGAUAAAGUUUGGGUCUCGAUCCAUGCAGUCAACAUUAACUCAACUUCAUCUAAUUAAGCGAAUACGCUAUUAUCCCCUACUUAUUUACUAGUUUUGGUCGAUUCUUUCAUGCACACACUCUAACAUAUAUGUUCUAUAGCAGCUUGUGUAGAAUUUUCAUAAAUUUUACCUUUCAGGGAUAGAGUUACCCAUAGAAGAGGAUAAGCGUAAAAGGGUUGAUCGCUUCGAUCGGGACACAAACGUUAUAAAAAAUAUGUGAUUUUUUUACCAUAACCAUAUUUCACUAUACGUAACACAUCCUGUGGACGGAUUUGCAAAAUUCUAUUUACAAGAUAUAGUUGCUUCACAAAUGCACACACUUGCAAAAAUGCCACUAAACAAGUUAUACCACAUUAGUAGGCAUGUUGUGGUUCUAAUGUCUAAAAUUUAAAAUAUUAAAUUUCGACCGUCAGAUGUGAUUAGCAAAUUUAAAUACGGAUAUGGUAAAAAAUUCACCUAAUUUUCAUAAAGUUUGGGUCUCGAUCGAUGUGGUCAACAUUAACUCAACAUCAUCUAAUUAAGCGAAUACGCUCUUACCUCCUCCUUCUUUACUAAUUUUGGUGGAUUCUUUCAGGCACACACUCUCACAUAUAUGUGAUGUAGUAGCUCCUGUAAAAUUUUCAGAAAUUUUACCUUCUGGGGAUAGGGCUACCCAUAGGGGAUAAUAAGCGUAAAAAGAGGUGACCACCUCGAUCGGGACACAAACGUUAUCGAAAAUAUGUGAUUUUUUUACCACAACCAUAUUUCACUAUACGUAACGCAUCUUGCGGAGGGAUUUGUAAAAUUAUAUUUACAAGAUAUAGUUGCUUCACAAAUGCACACACGCAAAAAUGCCACUAAACAAGUUAUACCACAUUAGUAGGCAUGUUGUGGUUCCAAGGUUUAAAAUUCAAAAUAUUAAAUUUCGACCGUUGGAUGUGAUCAACGUAUUUAAAUACAUAUAUGGUCAAAAAUUCACCUAAUUUUGAUAAAGUUUGGGUCUCGAUCGAUGUGGUCAACAUUAACUCAACUUCAUCUAAUUAAGCGAAUACGCUCUUACCCCCUCCUUCUUGAGUAGUUUUGGUGGAUUCUUUCAUGCACACACUCUCACAUAUAUGUGAUGUAGCAGCUCCUAUAAAAUUUUCAGAAAUUUUAUCUUCCGGGGAUAGGGCUACCCAUAGGGGAUAAUAAAGCGUAAAAAGGGUUGACUACCUCGAUCGGGACACAAACAUUAUCGAAAAUAUGUGAUUUUUUUUACCGUAACCAUACUUCACUAUAUGUAACGCAUCCUGCGGAUGGAUUUGUAAAAUUCUAUUUACAACAUAUAGUUGCUUCACAAAUGCACACACGCAAAAAGGCCACUAAACAAGUUAUACUACAUUAAUAGGCAUGUUGUGGUUCCAAAGUUUAAAAUUCAAAAUAUUAAAUUUCGACCGUCUGAUGUGAUCAGCGUAUUUAAAUAUAGAUAUGGUUAAAAAUUCACCUAAUUUUGAUAAAGUUUGGGUCUUGAUCGAUGUGGUCAACAUUAACUCAACUUCAUCUAAUUAAGCGAAUACGCUCUUACCCCCUCUUUCUUGAGUAGUUUUGGUGGAUUCUUUUAGGC